GCCAGCAGCUAUAACACCCUGCAACUCACAACUGGCAACUUGCUGAAGCUAAGCAGGUCUGAGCCUGGUCAGUACCUAGAUGGGAUACCUCAUAGGAAAGCUAAGGUUGCUGCUGGAA
RNAcentral lists this ribosomal RNA (118 nucleotides) under Lepisosteus oculatus (spotted gar). Lineage: Eukaryota; Metazoa; Chordata; Actinopteri; Semionotiformes; Lepisosteidae. The record is from RNAcentral.